Molecule: long non-coding RNA, 278 nt
Filed under: Rattus norvegicus (Norway rat)
Lineage: Eukaryota; Metazoa; Chordata; Mammalia; Rodentia; Muridae
Description: long non-coding RNA NONRATT006877
Source: RNAcentral
AAGGUAUCGUUCUUUCAGCCAGAUGAUGAAGUCGUCGGGAUUUUGCCUUUGGAUUCGGAAGACCCCGGACUCUGCGAAGUUAUCCGAGUACAGGAGCAUUACCUGGUUCAUAAGCCAGAAAAGGUGCCAUGGACGGAAGCCGCUGGAGUCAUCCGGGAUGGAGUCCGAGCCUACACAGCCCUCUAUUACCUUUCUCAGCUCUCUCCCGGGAAGUCCGUGCUGAUCAUGGAUGGGGCAAGUGUGAGUCCCAGCUCAUUCUGUUUAAAAAAAAAAAGAAA